This 65-nucleotide transfer RNA is filed under the name Laevipilina hyalina. RNAcentral's name for it is "tRNA-Leu". Lineage: Eukaryota; Metazoa; Mollusca; Monoplacophora; Tryblidiida; Neopilinidae. The record is from RNAcentral.
AUCAAUGUGGCAGAAUAGUGCAUUAAGUUUAAGCCUUAAAUAUAAAACCCCCCUUUUCAUUGGUA